UUCUGCAGCUCUCAGACUCCUUCAUGUGGAGGCUGGGAGGGGGGUUGGGAGAGGCUUACUGAAAUGCCAGUAACAUGGUGAGAAAACGUCCGUUCUCCACCAGGCAUUUCCUUUGUUGACACGACAGGUUUUCUCUGUGUCCAUGUGAGGAGAGCAACGGCUCACCCUGAAAUGGAAUGCCCGACGUCUCAGAACUCCUUCAUGCUACUGGGUCACUGCCACUUCUGUCUUCCUCCAAAAUACCACGUACCUAGAGCACGGCACCACUAAGCACGGAUUCUGGUGUGGAUGUGUAAAGAGGUGAUGCCUGGAACGAUGACAGCCUUUUGCGGACCAUUAGAGGAGCUCUCCAAAGGAUAAGCCAGCAUACUAAGGAUGCACUAUUCACAAUAGUCAAGAUGUGGGAACUACCGAAAAGUUCACCAACAGAUGAAUGAAUGGAGAAAAUGUGACGUAUACAUACAAUGGGAUAUUACUCAGCCUUCAAGGACAUUCUGCAAGAUGUGACAACCCCGGGUGAAACUUGAGGACAUCAUACUAAGUGAAAGAAGCCAGAAAAAACAGAAAGGUAAAUAAUGUGUGAGGUAUCUAAAAUAGUCAAACUCAUAAAAUCAAAGAGUAGAAUGGUGGUUACCAGGGCCUGGGGGAAAGGGGAAAUUGGGAGUUAUUAAUCAAUGGGCAGAAAGUUUCAGCCGAGCAAGAUGAGUAAUUUCAAGAGAUCUGCUGUAUGACCUUGUACUUACGGUCAACAAUAACGAGUUAACACACUUAAAAAUUUUUUGAGAGGGUAGGUCUCGUGUUAGGUGUUCUUACCACAUUAAUUAAAAAAUAUAUAA
Molecule: long non-coding RNA, 836 nt
Organism: Herpailurus yagouaroundi (jaguarundi)
Lineage: Eukaryota; Metazoa; Chordata; Mammalia; Carnivora; Felidae
Exons: 4
Source: RefSeq, a predicted model, not a curated record